CCCGCUGAACUUAAGCAUAUCAGUAAGCGGAGGAAAAGAAACUAACAAGGAUUCCCGUAGUAACGGCGAGUGAACAGGGAGGAGCUCAAAUUUGGAAUCUGGCGUGCCCGCCCGGUAAAAGGGGGGGCAGGCCCGAAUUGUAGUCUAGAGACGGUGGGGUGCGGGUGUGUGUGGGCGCAAGCCUGGACGACGGACGGCCGGGACGUGCACAAGUGCUCUGGAAUGGGCCAUCACAGAGGGUGAGAAUCCCGUUUGGGCACGGCGGGACGGACGGCGGACACGCACGCACGGGACGCUCCCGAGAGGGGGUGUGUGCCUGCGGUCAAAGAGUCGAGUUGUUUGGGAAUGCAGCUCAAAAGGGGUGGUAAACGUCAUCCAAGGCUAAAUAGGGGCAAGAGACCGAUAGCGAACAAGUACCGUGAGGGAAAGAUGAAAAGCACCUUGAAAAGGGAGUUAAAGAGGGCGUGAAAUUGUUAAAAGGGAAACGAUUGUCGACGGGAGAGCGUGUGUGUGUGGGGGGACGCGGGGAGCCCGGAGACGGAGGUGUGCGCGCCAUGCAAAGCGAUUUGUGUGUGGGUGUGUGCCCGGUUGGGGGGGGACCUGGUUUCUGCCGGACACGCGCGGGUCAGGGCGGCUUUGGGACGGUGCCAGGAGACCGUGGGAGGGUAGCCGGGGACGAGAGUGCCCGGAACGUAUAGCCCGCGGGGAAGAGGUGCGGACUGGAGUGACGGGAGCCCGAGAUGGUGUGGAUGGUGACGACGGGGGGGACUCGACGCGGACUGGGUGGAGACACGCAGACGGCGGGGGUGCCGCCCGGGACACGGACACACGCAUGGCGGGCGUUCUCUGACGGAAAGGCGACAAACGACCCGUCUUGAAACACGG
This 885-nucleotide ribosomal RNA is filed under the name uncultured fungus. RNAcentral's name for it is "eukaryotic LSU rRNA". It matches the Rfam family "Eukaryotic large subunit ribosomal RNA", at positions 24 to 664 of the family's 3401-position model. Lineage: Eukaryota; Fungi. The record is from RNAcentral.